UCUGGAGACAGGUGCUGCAUGGCUGUCGUCAGCUCGUGUCGUGAGAUGUUGGGUUAAGUCCCGCAACGAGCGCAACCCUUGCCUUUAGUUGCCAGCAGUUCGGCUGGGCACUCUAAAGGGACUGCCGGUGUUAAACCGGAGGAAGUGGGGAUGACGUCAAGUCCUCAUGGCCUUUAUGACCAGGGCUACACACGUACUACAAUGGCCGAUACAAAGGGCAGCGACACUGCGAGGUGAAGCCAAUCCCGUAAAAAUCGGUCUCAGUCCGGAUUGGAGUCUGCAACUCGACUCCAUGAAGUUGGAAUCGCUAGUAAUCGUGGAUCAGCAUGCCACGGUGAAUACGUUCCCGGGCCUU
Molecule: ribosomal RNA, 355 nt
Filed under: uncultured Desulfobulbus sp.
Lineage: Bacteria; Pseudomonadati; Thermodesulfobacteriota; Desulfobulbia; Desulfobulbales; Desulfobulbaceae
Description: bacterial SSU rRNA
Rfam family: Bacterial small subunit ribosomal RNA
Source: RNAcentral